AAUGAACGCUGGCGGCGUGCUUAACACAUGCAAGUCGAGCGAGGCCAGGGGGGCAACUCCCUGAGUCGAGCGGCGGACGGGUGAGUAACACGUGGGUAACCUACCCGGAAGUGGGGGAAUACCUCGGGGAAACUCGAGCUAAUACCGCAUGACAUCUCGAGGACGAAAGUCCUUGCGAUCAAAGCGGGGCCGCAAGGCCUCGUGCUACCGGAUGGGCCCGCGCCCGAUUAGCUAGUUGGCGAGGUAAUGGCUCACCAAGGCGACGAUCGGUAACCGGCCUGAGAGGGCGAUCGGUCACACCGGAACUGAGACACGGUCCGGACUCCUACGGGAGGCAGCAGUGGGGAAUCUUGCGCAAUGGGCGAAAGCCUGACGCAGCAACGCCGCGUGGAGGAUGAAGGCCCUUGGGUUGUAAACUCCUGUCGGCUGGGAAGAACUCGUUCGCGGCUAAUACCCGCGGACGUUGACUG
This 470-nucleotide ribosomal RNA is filed under the name uncultured Holophagae bacterium. RNAcentral's name for it is "bacterial SSU rRNA". It matches the Rfam family "Bacterial small subunit ribosomal RNA", at positions 28 to 475 of the family's 1533-position model. The record is from RNAcentral. Lineage: Bacteria; Pseudomonadati; Acidobacteriota; Holophagae.